Molecule: ribosomal RNA, 492 nt
Filed under: uncultured bacterium
Lineage: Bacteria
Description: partial 16S ribosomal RNA
Rfam family: Bacterial small subunit ribosomal RNA
Source: RNAcentral
AUUGAACGCUGGCGGCAUGCUUUACACAUGCAAGUCGAACGGUAACAGGCCUUCGGGUGCUGACGUGUGGCGCACGGGUGAGUAAUGCAUCGGAACGUGCGCAGGGGUGGGGGGUAAAGCAGCGAAAGAUGUGCUAUAAUCGCACGUGCGCUGUGGAGGAAAGCGGGGGACAUGGUAGGAACGUUUGCCCUCGGGCCAUUGGAGGGCGCGAUGUCAGAUUAGUUAGUUGGUGGGGUAAAGGCCUACCAAGCCGACGAUCCGUAACUGGUCUGAGAGGACGACCAGCCACACUGGGACUGAGACACGGUCCAGACUCCUACGGGAGGCAGCAGUGGGGAAUAUUGGACAAUGGGCGCAAGCCUGAUCCAGCAAUGCCGCGUGCGUGAAGAAGGCCUUCGGAUUGUAAACCGCUUUUGUACGGAACGAAAAGGCUCUGGCUAAUACCUGGGGCUGAUGACGGUACCAAAAGAAUAAGCACCGGCUAACUACGUG